GAUGAACGUUGGCGGCGUGCCUAAUACAUGCAAGUCGAACGGAGAUUGUAGCAAUACGGUCUCAGUGGCGAACGGGUGAGUAACGCGUUGGUGACCUGCCCCGAAGUGUGGAAUAACAGAUCGAAAGAGCUGCUAAUACCGCAUAAUAUCCAGAGGACUAGAUGCCUUUGGAUUAAAGGAUUUAUUCGCUUCGGGAGGGGCCUGCGUCCCAUCAGCUAGUUGGUAAGGUAAUGGCUUACCAAGGCUAUGACGGGUAGGGGACCUGAGAGGGUGGCCCCCCACAAUGGAACUGAAACACGGUCCAUACACCUACGGGUGGCAGCAGUAGGGAAUAUUAGUAAUGGGCGAAAGCCUGAACUAGCAACGCCGCGUGUGCGAAGAAGGCCUCGGUUGUAAGCACUUUUGUAGAGGAUGAGGAAGGACGGUACGUCUCAGAAUAAGUCUCGGCUACUACGUGCCAGCAGCCGCGGUAAAACCGUAGCGUG
Molecule: ribosomal RNA, 485 nt
Filed under: uncultured bacterium
Lineage: Bacteria
Description: bacterial SSU rRNA
Rfam family: Bacterial small subunit ribosomal RNA
Source: RNAcentral